This is a long non-coding RNA of Lytechinus pictus (painted urchin), 576 nucleotides long. RefSeq lists it as uncharacterized. The transcript has 3 exons. The record is from RefSeq and is a predicted model, not a curated record. Lineage: Eukaryota; Metazoa; Echinodermata; Echinoidea; Temnopleuroida; Toxopneustidae.
GCAGCACAAGACUAGCUGAUGAAGCAAAAUAAUCCUUGCAAUAAUCGUGAUUGUGGAAGAGAUUAUGAUGACAAAGAAGUCUGGAAUAAACAAGAAACCUCAGAACCACCUUAACUGUGUCUGCUACAAUGUGUGUUCUUGCAACCAGCUGAUUGAUUCAUUUUAUCAACUCUUAAAUGGUUGAUUAUCAGAACUGAAUUCAGAGCUGCUCCUGUCUGUAGUAUCAUUAUUAGAGUGGACUUCAGAAUGAGGGCGUUGCUUGUUUAAAAACUUCACUCCAUGAAGCUCUCCAAAUUCACCUCAAAUUAGACUGCUUCUGGAAACCAGAUUUGUUCCUUCAAGCAGAAACGCUUGUGGCUUUCCUGACUGGACUUCUAUGGAUUCUUCAUGCCAACCUUAAGGACUGUGGUCUUCUGCAUGAUACACGUCAAUUUCAAACAAGACAUUCUGUGGUGAAACACUUGAUGUACUGUUAGAUGAUAUGAAAUUUUAUUUCAUAUAACUGAAUCUCAGAAGUAACUCCUUGGGAGCAAGAAACAUUGAAAAAUAAAAAAUAAAAGGUCCAUCAAUAAUGAA